Molecule: long non-coding RNA, 24079 nt
Filed under: Malus domestica (apple)
Lineage: Eukaryota; Viridiplantae; Streptophyta; Magnoliopsida; Rosales; Rosaceae
Description: long non-coding RNA (MDOM_LNC002474)
Source: RNAcentral
CAAAAGUGACUAAUUUAGAGUGCACAUGUGAGCGGGAUUGAACCCAUAUCACACAAGUGAUGUCAAAGCAUAGAUAAGUUGCAGUGAAAAAAGAGUAAGGACAUUUAUAAUGAAAGAAGAAGUCUCCUACAUAACAGCUGUUAUCAACAAUCCUCGUCGUCACGAAACCUCUGCCACUAAAAUCCUGGAAGCGUGAAAAACAAGAGUGAGUGAGCCUGAAAAUAAAGUUUUGUAAAACCUUUUUGAAAAGUGUAACCCAUCAUUGUAAAACAAGUAUAUGGUUUCCCAAAAAUGUUAUAAUAAUAGUAUGUAAUAGGUACCCUGUAACAUAAGUGAGGUAAAGAAUGUAGGCAUAACAAGGUAUCUCAAUUCAUUAUUAAAAGAAAUCAAUGCUCAUUAAUGUAUGUAGGCACACAAGUCCAUUGUAGAGAUAUUAAGACAAUGGGACAGGGUGUGGGUUUUACAUUCUAGUACUACAUCACGUGAGCUGCGCUAGUCGCAUCACAUACGAGUCCAAAACAUCACACAAAAGGACAAGCUGACACCUAACUUUGGAUCCAAAGCGAAUGUAAACGGUGCAUGUGAACUACACGUGAAGCUCGUCUUUGGCCCAUGAUAGUACAAAUAACUAAGAGACAUCAUGCAAACAUGUAAUAAUGAGCAGAUAAAACGCAAGGAUGUCAUGCCACAAGUUUAUGCUCACAAAUAAUAUUAAAAACAUAAAGUGUAUGAAAAGUCUAUUUGUAAGGCUAAACAUGGCAUGUCACAUCAUAAUAUAUGUGGAUGCAAAUUUCCGUCUUCUUCUUCUUGGACAAAAGUGCACUUGCAAAACAAUUAACACCUUAGGUCAACGCCAAAAGUCUCACGUGCCCACGAUGAUUUUUUUUUAAGGGGGGGCUUUGGCCGAAGAAUCUCCGAUGCCAAAGUUAGAAUUUGAGGGGAAAAUGUUUAGAGAAAUUUAGAGAAUUUUGUAAGAGAGUUGGAAUUAGGUUUUUGGAGAAAUGAUGUGGUAUUUAUAGGGGUGUGGCUGGCCUCCUUUGGAGAGAUGGGAACCAGCCACAUAUGGUGGUUUUUGGGUGUAAUUACAAGAUAUUAUGUCAAAAUAAUAUCUUUCAAUCAAUUAGGAAAUUAAUUAGAAAAUUAAUUAAUGAAUUUAGGUAAUUAAUCAUAUUUUGAAUGAAUAUUUGAGGGUUACCUUGUGGGGAGGAUUUGAUGAGGAUGGAUGAAAUAGGUUUUGAAUAAAUACCUAUUUUGAUCACUUUUGACCUUGAUUGAGUCGUGAUUGUCCGUUGCUUGCCCGUGAGAGUUCCAAUAUGUCUCGAAAGUAAUUUUGUCUUAUUACCCAAAAAUCCACAUGUCGUCUCCAUAUUUUUCUUGAUUAUUUUUUGCUCCACAAAUGCCCCUACAUCUGUUAGGCUGCUCGCAGGAAAUGACAGUAGGUGUAGAGAUCUUCUUGCUUUAGGAAACAUAGGAUUGUUUCCUAUUUUGAUCUAGAUUCUCUCUUUAAUUGGAAAUUAAGUCUUUCUAGGAAAGGGAAAUAAAUUUCUCCCAAAGUCUAUUUAAGUCUACCUUAAGUAGAUUAUUAAAUCAACUUUAGAGAGCAAUUUAUUCUACCCCAUGAUGAGUCAAUAUUAUAUUAUAUAUUUUACCCUAUUCUUAGUAUAAUUUGGUAAUUAUUUUGGUAGAAUUUUAAUUCUUUGCUUUAUAUUUUCAAUAUAGGACAUCCGACUUCCUUUGGAGAAAAACAUGAUCAAACGGACGAAUUUUAGAGUGAUUUAAAUUGGAGAACGUUCGUGUGUCUCUUGGAUUGUUCCUGUCAAAAUUUGAGAUUUUUCUACCAAGCGGUUAUUUUCUGCCGAUUAAAUAAAGGAGCAGGGCGCAUUGCUGAAAAGUGACGUUUCUUAGCUUAAAUUACGUUUUUGGAGCACAAGAUGACCUCAUAUGGGUUCGUGGCCUUCUGGAAAAGUGUUUAGAAUAGUUCAAGCUUUAAAUCUAGCUAUUUUGGGCCAGUUUUGGGGCUGAUAUGGGUCCAAAACAUGGCCGUGCAGAUUUCUAGGCGAAUUUACCAAGUCAAUUUAGGAUUAUGUUUCCUAUUUUAUUUCAAUUUAUUUAGUUUCCUAGUCUUAUUCUAAGACCUUUGGCUAAGAGGAUUUUAUUUAGAGUAGUAUAAAUAAGCCUUUUGGCAGACCUAGGGUUUGGCUGCUAUGUAACGCAAGAUUUGAGAAUAAGAUUUUGGCUAGAGCUUAGAGAUUUUCAGACUUUAUUCUUCAAGGUGUUUUCAUUCUUUUUCUAUUUCAAUACAAUUCUUUUGAUUUUAAUUAUGAAUAUGCGUAACUAAUUCUCUUUGCUAGGGUGAGGCCAUGAUCCUUAGCAAGAAUAUGUAGUCUCUUUUUAAUUUUCUUAUGAAUUUAUGCAUGCAAGUUUUGGAUUGUUAAUCAAUGUGCUUUAAACUAUUUAUUUGUCUUAGUGAUUUGCGACCAUUAGAAUAUUUAGAAAAGUAAUUUGAUGCAAUUUUGGCAGAAGGCUGUCCCUAAAAUUGACUAAGUCUUCUUGUGGUUAACAUGUCUAACUACUGAGGAUGGACGACACGUCUUGGGAGUUAUAUGGUUUUUCAAAAGGUUUUCACAAAACUUAAUGAGUCUUGCAUGUUCACAUUCGAUCUGGACGCCACGGACGGGUUGCAUGUUAAAUCUACGUUCUAUGUUGGGGGUUCCAAGUAGGGCAUGCUUUAGGAAAACCUAACCUUCAAAAUAUGCAUGUGUAAUUCAUAAGGAAUUAGAAGAACUACGUAGGAUUGUUAGGGUGAUGGCGGAACCCUAGUGUUUUUUUCUAAAUUUGUUUCUCAAAAUCUUUUCUUAUUGAAUUGUUUCCUUUUUAAUUGGUGAUUAGUUGCUUUCCCUAAAUUACUUUUAUUAAAAUUCGUUUAUGUUAUUUUUAAAUUCAAAAUCAAUCUUUUCCAAUCUUUGUUUGUAAAUAAUUAACUAAAAUUUUGGGUUUUCAUAAAUUUCUUUAAAUAAUCCCUACGGAAAAACGACCUUGCUUCAGUCGUGUUAUACUACAACAACUUUUUUUUCUUGCAAGUAUUUUGAUUGAUUUUAACCUCUUUGUGCAGCUACCCAAAAAUCCUAUCACCCCACAAGAGAGAGAAAACUAAAGGAUAUUUGUUCUCCCUCCCUUAGCAAUCUUCUACACUUGCAUGUGCAAAGGACCAUAUUUCAUUGCUUUCUUUGUCUUCUCCGCACCACACCGGGGUAAGAAAAAAUUAAUUUUCCUUGUCUUCUUCUUGGAUAAUGCUGUCACAGGGUAGCCGUUGGGGUGGUGUGGCACGUUGGUUGGCAAGGGCCAGGAGUCGGCUUGGCAUGGACCGAGGUGGUGUUGUGGCUACGGCCACUGCUUGGGCUGCUCAACUUGGCUAAAGCCAAAGGUAGAUGUGCUGCUGUGGUCGCAGAAUGAGGCGAUAGGGCACAGUGCUAGGCAAGCAACAUAGCUCAUGUCCUUUGGGCUCUUGGACCUGACGCAGGCCAUGUUGGUGCAAUGGCUUGGGCCAAAGAAACUUUGGAGAUAAGUGGAGAGUGGGAGUUUGAUUAUUCCCUUGAGCUGCAUGUUCUAACGAUUUUCAUUACCGGUAAGUAGACUGUUUAGUCUCUAGGAUGCUUUGUAUUUUUGCUAUGCUACUAUCUGAUUCAUUGUUUAUCUUCUUCUGCUUAUAUAGAUUCGGAAUUCGGUUCAACUCCCAAGACUUCUCCAGACAUGAAGAAAAUGCAUGUUGCUCUAGGUACCCAUUCUGAGUAUCGUGAAUGGCGUUGGUUGCUUAGUCUUCUUGAUCGGGAUGAAGAUGGGCUGCCCCAGAGAAAGAGAUAAAACAAAUCAAGGCAAGGGCAUUGGCUUGUCCGAUCGCUAUCGUGGAGCCUGCUGUUAAUGAAAGUGGAAAUAAGAGAUAUUCCCCGCCUGCUCAAGGGAUGCCAGCUGAGAAAAAGCUGAAGACUUCAUUUGCUACUCGUGAGGGUUCACCGGUUGGCCCUAGGCUUGUGAUUGACUUGACUUCUUCCAAAGGGAAGAAAGAUGAGGCUGCUAGAUCUAAGCUAGUGACGCUUACAGUGCCAAAGGUCGCUAGUACGAUUGUUGAUAGGAUUACUCAUCGUAGAAGUUCCGUUAUGCCCCCAAUGUUGAAAUUUAUGCCAAAACAACAGUCGGGGGCUAAGCCUGGUUCACAUUUGAAGAGACUUGCUACUAUGAAAAAUGAUAAGGUGGACUCUGCUUCUAAAGUGAUGCCAAGGCCUACUCCCCAUACUGCUGAGACUAAUUUGCCUGCUAGGAAGAAGGAGACUGUUCACGUGGGCAACUGUGAGAAAUUUACUAAGCCUACUUCUGGUGAGGCUGCUGCGAUAUGUGCGCUUUUGAAACCAGAUCUGCUAGAAGACAUCGACGCUUGUGCCAAGUUUGUCGAUGGCGUUAGAAAGGUUGUUUGCCCAAGUUCCUUUUCGAAACAUACGGCUGAGUAUAGGAAGACUACUCUACUUGCAAUGAUGUAGAAGACGACUAUUCUGGUAGCGGAGUCUAUGCUUAUUGACCAAGAGGACACCAAGGCUGCCAAGAAGGUGGCAAAGGUUAUGGCAACCGAAGCUUAUUAUUCUGCCGAAAAGAUCAAGAUGUUGGAAUCUGAGAUCGUUACUUUGAAGAGGUAUAAUAUCUCUGCCCCCAUUUUUCUGCAGCUUGAGAUCGCUCGCCAAGAGAUUAUUAACUUGAAAACUAGGCUUGACGUGAUCCAAGUUAAGUAUGAAAAUGCAGAGAAUGAGAUCGGUUGUCACAUACCUCGGAUUCAACAUCCUAAGCGUACCGUUUCUGAGCUUUGUUUUGCUACUUAUGCAAAAGAUGAAGAAUUGAUUGCUAUUUAUAACCAAGUAAUCCACUUCAAGAAAAUCGUUGAUAGGCUUGAACCCCAAGUGUUGGAACUUCAAGGUGCACUGAAUAUCAACGAAGGCUUGAAGAAAGAAGUGAAUGAGCUGCAGCGCUUCCAUGUUGGUCUGCUCGAGGAGAACGGGCAACUAAAUGGUGAGAAAGCUAGGCUCGAGGCUCUGCUUGUUCAGAGUCAGGCUAAUUUGUACAAGCUUGGUUAUGUAGAUCAUCUCUUUGGCAAGCCGUCUGACUUCGAAUUUGCUGAGAGAUACUCCAAAACCUUCUCUAUUUCUCCGGAAGACUUGCUUGCCUUUACUUUUGAGACCUCCAUUGGUGAAGUAGUCGAAGAGGUUAAUGUCCAAGCUGGAGUAGCCGGGGGUAAAGCGUCAUAUGAUGUCACUGCUGGGAGCGUUGCGACUGGUAAAGGUGUAGCGGCUGAGUAAUCGUGGGAUGUCCAAGCUGCUAAAGGUAGUCUUUUAGAUAGCCUUUAGGAUUUUCUUUGUUUUCCUUGUUGCUAGUCAUUUAUCAAUUUUGCUAGAAAUUUAAUAAACUUGCUUUCUUCACUUUUCUUCAUCUUUGUUUCUUUUUUUUACGCCCAACCUUUGACUUUUAGACCAACAGCAGACGUGCUGCUUUUCUAUAAGUAGACAUGUUCGCGUAGCCUAUGUAACAAUAGGUGUUGGUGUAGAACUUUUGUAAAGUUGUUAACCAUAGGGUUGGAUGCCGGAAGCUGGACGCCUUACUUCCAGAAGUAGACGAGUCCACGUGACCACUUGGUUAUUAACCUUGGCUUUCUUCAAUCCUUUGAGUUAUGUGGCCUGCAUCACAACAUACUAAAGAUUUUUGGGUCAUGAAAUUUGCUAAGCUUUCGUAUAAAAAAUAAGUGGUUGUAUGGAAUUUCGUAAGCAAAGGUUCGAGAGAAUUCCUUGCUCUUUAUGUAACCAAUUAUGUGGGUUAUAUAGCAAGUAUCACAACACUUUAGGAAUUGAUGUAGAUCCAAUUGAUCAUUUCGCGCUUGGCAGAGGUGAAGCUUAUCGAUUGAGCAACAUGUCGGCAGUGGAUAAAGCUUCGUAUAUGCACGCUAGUUUGUUUAACCUUUCACAAGAAUGUGCGGUUGUAUAAGUCUAGCACGACUUUAGUGCUCGAAGAGUAAACCGUAAGCAGUCUUCUGAAAAUCGUAGGCUACCUUAGUGCACUCGGUAACAGCUUUAGGGUUCUAGGGUAGCCGUCCAUGAGGCGUAUGCGUAAUGUGCCUUCUCCAUUUCUGAGGCCCGGUUCCCAGCAGAUUAGGCCAAGAAACCCAAAAUCCUUCAGUUAUCUAAGCUUUGAAAAAAACCAUUGCGGCUACUUUUAGGAAUCCCGGUGCAAGCCAUCGUGCACCUAGUUACACCAGGGCAGCCCGACUCAUCCAUGUCUAGAUAUUCAGAGUGAAAGUUUAUCCUCCCACUUUGGAGAGUGGACCCAUGUCGGUGUCGAGGAAUUGGUUUACCAUCUCGCACUGGAGAGCAAUUAGUUUAUCCUCUCACAUUUGAGAGCAGACCUAGAUGGGUGUCAGGGAAUUAGUUUACCCUAUCGCACUGGAGAGUAUGAUUGGUCUUUCGAGGGGUGCAAUUCCUGUGAUGAGUCCCUAAGAAGGGCGUAAUCUUCUUUUGAAGUGUGUGAGUGAUCAGUUGUUGUAAGCAUGCAGCCGAGCCAAGUUGUAGAUUGCUUCUGAAUUCCCCAUUGAAAAACGAGUGAAACGAACGAGAAUUUAACUGUAAGGUAGGAACUACAUAACAACUGGAUAGUCCUCGGCUUGCGAGGUGGUGCCUGUCGAGCUGCUUGAGUCUUCAAGCUUUGAUGUGGCAGGAGGUUAAACAUGGUACUCCUUCAGAUUGUAGGCGUUCCACUGCUUUUCGAUCUCUUUGUUGUUCAUAGUGGCAAGGGUGUUACUACCCUUGCCGCCUACUUUGCUGAUCUUGUACGGACCUUCUUAGAUGGGAUCUAUCUUUUUGGAGUCUUCUCUGCGGGCAGUGAUGAAGGCUUUCCUUAGGACUAGAUCUCCAGGUUGGAACUGCCGGAUCUUGGCCCUUUUUUUGUAGUUGGAGAUAAGUUGCUGCUGGUAGGCUACAAUGCAGGUGAUGGUCUGCUCACAUUUUUCCUCUGCCAGAUCUAUACUUGUGGCAAUCUCCUUACUGUUCUGCUCAAUGCUUAGCAAUAGAGUACUGAUACUUAGCACAAUGACAUUUGGGAAAAAUGAUUGCUUCUAAACCAAAUGCCAAAGAGAAAUGAGUCUCACCAGUGGCUCGUCAUUUAGUCAUGUGAUAUGCCCAUUAACAUAUAGGGAGUUCGUCUGGCCACUUUCCCUUCUUAUCAGAGAAGGAUUUCUUGAGGCAGUCGAGAAUCGUCUUGUUGGAUGCUUUGGCCUGCACAUUGCCUUGAGGAUAUCUCAGUGUGGACAUGUGCUGCUUGAUGUUAUACUUUUGGAAGAACUUCGCCAAAUCUUUGCCUACGAAUUAUGGGUUGUUGUCGGUGAUGAUGGAUUGGGGAUGCCAAAUCGACAAAUAAUGUUCUUUCAUAUAAAGCGCUCUAUGUCCAUUUGAGUCGUGGUUGUCAUGGGCUCUACUUCUACCCAUUUGGUGAAGUAAUCGGUUGCCACGAUCAUCAUGCAUCUGCCCCCAGUAACGGGCGACAUUGGCCCUACCAAGUUGAUUCACACUGCAUGAACGGCCAGAGACUCAUUUGUGGGUGUAGCUUGCUAGCAGGCAGUGCUGGUACCAGCUUGUAGCGUUGGCAGCGGUUGCACUUUUGCACUAACUUCUUAGCAUCUUGAUGCAUGGUAAGUUAGUAGUAACCUAUGUUAAGAGCCCUAUGCACUAAUGAUGGGCCUCUGGAAUGAUUUCCACAAACAUCUUCAUGGAUUGAGGUUAGAACCUUUAGGUCGUCAGGAAGUGCUAGGCAACAAAGAUGUGGUCCAAUGUAAGAUCUUCGGGGUAAAAUGUUGUUCCACAUGUAGUAGCGUGCUGCCUUUAUUUAGAGCUUUCUAGACUACAACCUUUCCUUGGGGAGUGUGCCAUUAACCAGGUAGUUUAUAAUAGAACUUUGCCAGUUUGGAGUUGUACUAACCUGUGACACUUCGGCUGCCAACUCUACGCUUGGCUUGUCUAGAUACUUUACCAAGAUAGAGCAUUUGAGUUGGUGGUUAGGGGCAAAGCCUAGGCCAGCUAAUGCUUCGGCGUAGGUGUUGUCUGCCAACGGAACUUUGAGUGAGGGUGUAAGUCUGAAAUGCCUCAAGUUGCUUGCAAAUUUUCUCUAAGUAUUAAGCCAUCCUUGGAUGUUUUUCCAUGUACUCCCCAGUAGUCUAGCUGGUGAUUAGCUGGGAAUCAGAAUGAAUUGCAAGCUUUUUCUUUGCCAAGUCUUUUGCCAUUCGGAGGCCUGCUAGUAGGGCUUUAUACUCUACUUCGUUAUUAGAUGCUUUAAAGCCUAGAGUGAUUGCCUGCUCGAGCAUCAAACCGUCUGGGGUGACAAGGGCCACACUUGCUCCCGAGCCCUUGUAGUUGGAUGUGUCGACGAGGUGCAAAUGCCAGAAAUCUUCAUCGGGUGAAGUAGGCGUGGCUAGGGCAUGCUUGGCUGUUUCUGAAGCGUCGUUGGGUAGCUCUGUUGCGUCGCUUAGGCUAGGUUUGAAGGCUCAGUAGGGAACCGUGAGCUAGGGCCAUUUUACACACAGCAGGAAAUGCUCAACUACCAGUAUUGGGCCGUUCUAAAGCUGAAUUACGGAGCAAGAGCAGGAGGUAGUGCUCAACUACUGGUACAUAUUGCUCUUAUGUAGAAUCUUCUGGGGCAACGAGGAUAAAACUUGCUUCCGAGUGUCUUUCUAGUGUUCAUCUGCCCUUGGCGUGCCUUUUGGGCUAAGUUGUUGUAUUCGUAAAAAAAACUUUGUACAGCCAGUGUCUGCGCCUUUAUCGUCGCGCGUCUGGAUUAGGCAGAAUAGUGCGUCAUAAGGAUGACUGCGUGCGUCUAAAGGUAUAACUUGAGCUUCAGAGUUGCAACAACGAUCGCCAAAGUUAGCCUUUGAAUUUCUGGAAGUUGGUUUUCACAUUGAAGAGAGUUUUUCAACUGUGGAAUACAAGUAGUUGGGCCCCCAGCUCUUCUCGCAUGAGGGUAGAACUUAUAGUUACUUCAGAUGCGGUUGCUCAUCUAGUCAGACCUUGAAUCUCUUUUAGAGUAGUGGGGGACUUCAUAUUCAAGAUCGCACGGAUUUGCCUUGAAUGUGCAUCGGCGAGCCUCGUCCCAAAGUGCAUGCUUAUCUGCCAAAGCAAAAAAGUCUGCCAGAGUUAGAUAUUCUUUCAUGAUCAAUUCUCGGAACAGUGGGUGGUUUGCUGAGAGUCAUUUUUGGAAGGUUCCACUAGCUAUCAAGUCGUUGCAUUCGACUAUCUUUGCCUUCUCUACUUUGAACUUCUUUAUAGUUGUGAAUCGAUUCCUUUGGGUUCUUCUUGAUGUUGAACAAGUGGUCAGACUUCUUCUUGAUCGAGCAAUAGGAUGAAUAUUCUUUGGUGAAAACAAAAAAAAGUUUGUCGAAACUCCGAAUAAAUUGUGGUGGGAGGGUGUUGAACCAAUCUUGUGCCUUGCCUUGUAGAGUAGUGGUGAAUAUCUCGCACAUGAGAAUGUCAUUGUUUUGAUAAAGGAUCAUUGCGCUUCGAUAGUGCUUUAGGUGUCUAUCUGGGCCUCUAUCCCCUUUAAAUGAUGUGAAAUGCGACGUGCUGAACUUGCGUGGAGGCUCUGCCUGCUCAAUGUCUGUGAAGGGUGACCUACUUAUGUUAGUCAUGUCCUGUCGUAGUGCCUCGUCAAUGACCUUGUUGUGUCAAAAAUAGCGCAAUUGCUCGUUUAAAAGCCUCUAUACCUUUCCUAAAUUUGCCUUUGUUGGGUUAUCGGAGCUCUCGGCUGCUCCUGGUUGUGACCUACUGGUCUUAACUGCUCUUCCAUGUGUUCAGCUCGUCUAUGUCGUAGCUGCGGUACAUGUGGUACGUUCCUAACAGGCGAGCGAAUUUCUCGUAGGCUGCCAAUUGAACUUGAGCUGGAUUGAAUGACUGCUUCUCUCUGUCCGUCGUGCUGCCUACUCCAAUGUGAGGUGGAGGAUGUUUCUUGUGGGCCUAGCCGUGAAUGAACGCUUCGCCUCAAAAAAAUUAAUACCUUAGGUCAAGGCCAAUGGCCUCACGCGCCCAUGAUGAAUAAGGGGCAUUUGGCCGAAGAACCUCCAAUGCCAAAGUUAGAAUUUGAGGGAAAAGUGUUUAGAGAAAUUUAGAGAAUUUUGCAAGAGAAUUAGAAUUAGGUUUUUGGAGAAAUGGGGUGGUAUUUAUUGGGGGGUGGCUGGCCCUCUUUGGAGAGAUGGGAACCGGCCACAUAUGGUGGUUUUUUGGUGUAAUUGCAAGAUAUUAUGUCAAAAUAAUAUCUUGCAAUCAAUUAGGAAAUUAAUUAAUUUAGGUAAUUAAUCCUAUUUUGAAUGAAUAUUUUAGGGUUACCUUGUGGGGAGGAUUUGGUGGGGAUUGAUGAAAUAGGUUUUGAAUAAAUACCUAUUUUGAUCACUUUUGACCUUGAUUGAUUCGUGAUUGUUCGCUGCUUGUGCCUCGAGGGUAAUUUUGUCUUAUUCACCCAAAAAUCCACGUGUUGUCUUCAUAUUUUUUUUUAUUAUUUUUUGCUCCACAAUAUAUAAAAGCAGUUGUUAGGAAAAUCACAUAUAUAUAUAUAUAUAUAUGUAAAAAGGAAAAAACCAACUCACAGGUACUUGCAAUGUCACAUCCUUUUAAGCUAAGAAAGUCAAAGUCUUUGACAAUAAUCGCACCUAAGCAUAAUAUUGGGACCCAUUAGUAAAACUCAACUUAAACGAUCAAAUUUGAGAAAAUGGAAUGCGUAUUUGGAAUCAGAGCGUCAAAAUACGUUAAGAGGGGUCCCGAGUGAUUUUUAUAAAAGUCAACGGUCAACCCUUAAAAAAUCAACCGGGACGCCCCAGCAGUAAACUACGUCAAAACCUAGUAAUUUCACUAAAUGGAUAUCAUGGACUCGGGACGUCGAAAUUAGCUUACGAGGGUUUCCGAGAAAAUUUCAAAAAAGUCAACAAAAGUAAACUAAUGGUCGACAGUUGAUUUUAACGGAAUAUUCCAUUCUCAAAUGGAAUAUUCUGUUAAAGUUAAUGGGAAGGUUAACAGAAUAUUCCCUCCAAAAUAAAAAAUGGACCCAAGUCAGAUCUGGGUUAGGGUAAACGAGUCGUGGGCUUGGGCCAGUUACAAGUAGGGCUGGUUUAGUAUAGGAUACCAAACCGAAACUAGUAUCCCGAAUCCCAAACCAAAAUGUUUCGAGAUGGGAAAUUGAAGACCAAUCUCAAACCAAAUUUUCGGGAAUCCCGAAAUAUUUUUAGGAUUUUGGGACAAAUCGGGAUCCCCAAAUUGAAAUAUAAAAUUAUGAAUUGUUCUUCAAAUAUAUUCUACCAUCAAACUAUUUAAAUUCAACAUUCCAUCUACAAUUUCUUCAAAUAUAUUCUACUAAAUUCCAUCCGCAAUUUCUUCAAAUAUAUUCUACUAAAUUCCAUCCUCAAUUUCUUCAAAUAUAUUCUACUAUCAAACUAUUUAAAAAAUUAAAUUCAACAUUCCAGCGAUAAACACUAAAGUUGCAAUAGAAUACAAGGAGACGUUCUGUUUAUGUGAACCUAGGAUCUCUAAACAGCAAUGGCUAGCUAAUAUAGAGUGGAGCUUCCGUGGUGAAUCUAUUGAUGUUGCAGCAGCACAUUUGAGUUCCAACUGCCCAUCAGAACAUCAGGGUGUAUGAAACCAUAUCUAAUAAUUGGUGAAUCCAAUUUCAAACUACACAUAGUUUAUCUCACCCAAAAGAAAUAAAAGAAGCUAAUUAUUAAUCUAUGCAGAUCAUCUUGAAACUUUGGGGUCAACCAAAUUCCAGUAAAGUAUCAUAUUGUUAUCACCUUUCUAUCUUUUUAUUCUUUUUUUUUUCGAGAAAGAGUUCCUAUCCACAGCAAGCAGCAUUCUUUUCAUUCAAAACUCACUAUAAAGUCCAGUUAUAAUUUGUACAUAAUACCCUCACUCUCGUACUUACAAAGUAGGUCACUAGAAGGAAGUCUUGCAGUUUAAUAUUGUAUAAUUAGAAUUAUAUGUAAUAGCCUCACUCCUAAAUAAAAAAUAAAUAAAUAAAUCGUAAACCCUACCCUACUGGUAAACAUAAAUAUAGAAAUUAAGUUAGGGCUGGAAUCAUGAACAUCCAAUCCAAAACAUGAACAAAAUUCACAAACUUUGAGUGUCUGAUAGAGAGAAUCGGUGCACGGUGCACUGGAAGAAGAAGACUCUCAGACUUUGAGUGUCUGAUAGAGAGAAUCGUGUGAGAGAGAAUCGUGAGAGAGAGAGAGAGAGAGAAAAUGGUGGUCGUGGCUCUAUGUGGUGAAGGAAGGCUCUACAGUAAAGGAUGAGAAGUUGAGAGAGAUAGAUCAGAGAGGUGAUAGUGUUUGGGUUAAAACUUAAACUUUAGCCACAAAAAGGGACUUGGCCCAAAAAGAGGAGAGAAACCCGAAGUCCAGCCCAAAGCCCAGAAUACAAAAGAGGCCUUUCUCGACUAGGUGCAGGUCAUUUGCACCACUUAUUCACCUACCCAAAGACCAAGUGGUAUAGACCAGCCAACUAAUCAGCCCAAAAGUACUUUAUAAUGGUAGUACAAGUAAAUAGCUGAUAAGUCACUAUCCUUCAAACUGCAUUCGGGCAAGAUUGCUGCUACAGGAAGCCAAGCCAAAGUGUCUAUAAAAAAAGAAAGAGAAAUCAGAGUUGAGGACACUCAAACAAACAAACACUCAAACAAACAGACACUUAAACAAACAAACAAAUACAAGCACAAAUUCUGCUCAAAAGCCAGAUUUGCUUUCAAACGAAGCUGUAGUCAGCCCAAGCCUUCAUCCCUUUCGGGAUAAACCCUCAUUCAAGCCUUUGUAAUAACUCUGCUACCUUGUUCAACUAUUGUUGCAGUAUCGAUUUCUUUCUGUAAAACCAUCUCCCUACCCCUCUUCUAAAGCUCUCAACCCCUUUGAUAAACCACAAAGAUAGGAAGUUGCAAGACGAUUAGCCUUGCCCGACCCUCUUUGUUUCUGUCUUUUUAUUCAUUAACCUAGCAAUAUGUUGUAUACUUCAAGUUGUAUUCAAGUUAUUUCUAGUAAGAUGGCUAUUAAAAGACUCUCUCAGUACUUGAAUCCGAUUUGAAUAUGUCUUCACAGUUCAAAUCAGAUCUAAGUUCAAAACCCUCAGGCAUGUAAGAUUUGAUCACUUAAAAGUCCUUGGCCUCAAGGCAUAAAAAGAACCUUAUGUGGACUUAACCCAUCCACGACAAGCUUUGAUAACAAGAAGUCCGAAGUUACUUGGGGCGCAAGUAAUCGACCUAUUCCUUAGUUUUAUUUCUAUUAUUUAUGAUUACCAUAGAACGUUUAAGUAUAGAAUGAAUUCUGAUAUGAAGCCUCAAGACCUAUAUCUAAGGCCCUACAAAGGCACCUAUUUGGAUUCAUUCUAUUCCUCGGGCUAGAACGUUUGAGUAUAGAAUGAGUUCUGAUGGGAAGCCUCAAGGCCUAUAUCUAAGGCCCUACAAAGGCACCUAUUUGGAUUCAUUCUGCUCUUCGGGCUCAGGUAAUCAGAAGUAUAAUGGUUAUAAGACUCAUACAAUCAAUGAAACGGAUAUUAUAUGUUCGAGUACUGAGUUAGUUAUUGACUGGAAGCCUCAAGGCCUACACCUAAGACCCCACAAAGGCACCUGUCAUAACUAACACGGUCUCUUGGAUAUAUAUACAACUAAAACUCAACAUUCGUUUUACAUAUGUCAUGCUGAAGAUGGCAGUGGCACGCCUGAGCGCUUAAAAGUUAAUUUUGAUUGUGAGCCUCAAGACCUACAUCUAAGGCCCCACGAAGGCACCUUUCAAAGUUAACCAUGUCCUUCUCUUUCAGCUUUGCUCGACAAGCUUUGCCCGAUAAAGCCCACCAGUGAAGCAGAAGCCCGACAGAAAGCAUUAACCGGCGUCAACCUCUUGGGGAGCUGUGUGCUCGUCGGCCAGGGAACAUCCCCGACGGAAAUUCCUACCACAAACAUAGUUUUGGCACGCCUGGUGGGAUACAUUUGAUCAAAAGAGAUAUGUCACAACGAUCAGAAGAUUUGCAAACUACUUUGUUGCAAAUGCUACAAAGACUGGAGAACGCCUCCGCAGGUUUCAGACGAGAAGCCAACCUGGUUAUAAGUCUAACUAUUCCUAUAUCUUUACCUCUAUCUGGGGAAAAAGAUAAUAGACUUGAAACCAACCAGCUAGAGGAAGCAGUGAUGGAUAAACCUACGGAUUCCUUCUCAGAGGCCCCAAUAAAUAUGAUCAGUAUGGCCUGGGCUAAGAAGGGAAAAGAAAAGGUCAUAAAGGAAGAAGAAAGAAGAUUGGUUGACAAACCCACAAAAGGGGUGGUCAACUUGCCCGAAUAUCCAAGAGCUGCUAUAAUCAAAGGGAUGGUGAUGUGCAGUAAGUGCCAAUGCGAGUGUGAGCUCGAAAUACCGCCUACAGGAACCCUCAUAGAUCAGGAACUGAUCAGAAGGAAUGAAGAAGAAAAGAGAAGAGAGGCACAUGAGAAAGCUCGGCGGACUGCAGGAAGGGAUACCUCCUGAAGUGUCUUUCAGCGAUUAGGAGGCGAUUCCCAACCAAGGGCUUUAUCAAAGAUAUUUUGCAACCAUGAAGUUUCUGAGAAGGCAGAAGAUAAAGAUGCCAAGAAGCAGAAAGAAAGGGGUGUAGAGCACUCUCAGUACGGCUAUAUGGGAAAAGAAGUCAGGAGGAAUGAUAGGAUAACAAACCCUGUCAAAAAAGAUAAUCAUGCCCGCCUCGGGCGAAAAUGGUACGUGGUUCGGAAGAAUGGACAGCCCGUUAAACAAAUGGGAGCCUCCAUGGUCAGAAGGGUUCAAAGGCAACACAUAGCCUACAUAAAUUCCUUAAAAACCCCUACGACGUCGGAAGCAUCCAAGAAUCAAAAGUUGGAGAAAACGUCAUCUGGGGGAUUGGUCAGCUCCGCUGGAGGAGUAAGAAGAAGGUGGAAAAUGCUAACAGCAAGGCUGAAGGCGAGGGAAACCAUGUGCCACAAAGCCAACACCCUGGGAAAUAUAGGAUCUUGAUGAGAGCUCAAGAAGAUAUGAUCAUGGUGCCAACUCCCGGAUGGAAGACAGAGCAGCCCAUUUGCUUUGGGACUGUUUCGCUUGAAAGAAAACCAUUUUCUCCAUCAUUAGUAGAACCUUUCAAGGAAGUUCCAAAACAAACACCGUAUUCAGGCGUGAAUCAGCAGAAGAGGGCACCAAAACCACUGCUUCCAGCAGAUGCGAUGACUUGGUUAGAUGAGUUCAUAGACCAGAUUAGGAGCAAGAAAGAAGAACUGCCAGAGCCUAGCAACUUUCAUAUCAACAUGGCAUACGUGCUAUCCGCCAUGUUUAGUGCCAGACCUGAUCAGCCUGCCACGAUGGAAGGAGACUAUGUGACAACUGAGCCAAUGAUGGCUCAUGUCAGCGUGGAGGUAGCUGAAGAGGGAGAAUCGGGGAAAGCUGAAUCAUUUGAAGCACCCAAGGUUGGUCCUUUAAGGAUCUAUACGGACAAGAUGGUGUUCAGCCGCCCGAGCAUUUCGCUUGCCAAUCACCUAAAGCCCAUAUACGUUACAGCCUAUUUGGAAGAAGUGUCUUUCAAAAGAAUUUUAAUUGAUGGAGGAGCGGCUGUUAAUGUACUACCGGCUAAGCAAAUGAAAAAGUUGGGGAAAGACAUAGAGGAUCUUAUUCCUACAGACCUCACGGUUUCUAGCUUCUCAGGCGCUAUCACCAAGACUCAUGGGAUAUUGCCUUUAGAAGUGGAUUUGGGGUCUAAACAGAUCAUGUUGGCAUUCUUUGUGAUGGACUGCACUUCCACCUAUGGAGCCUUACUCGGAAGAGAUUGGAUCCAACAAAGUCUUGUCAUACCCUCCACUCUACAUCAACAAGUGGCUGUUUAUCAUGAGGCAGGCGCAGAAGGACCAGGCUUUUGGGAGAUGGUAGAGGCCGAAUCACGGCCAUUUCUUCCCACAGCCAAUGUUGCUGAAGCAAAUUUCUACAACCCCAACGGAGGAAUUUUGAAAUGUUCAGGAGCAGACGAGAACGGUCGCCCUACCAAGGUGACGGCCCAAAAGCUUCUAGAACAAGGAAUGCUCCUUACUAGAGAGCGGUGGGAUAGACCUUGUAUCGUCCUAACACCCCUACACCAUCAAUGAUAGAACAAAAUAAGAAGGAUCAGGUAAUGGUAGUCAGAUCCCUGAUUAAAAGACUAUUGGUGUAUAGGAAAAGAAUAAGACAAGAAAAUAAGCUCUUAGACAGAGAAGAGCAGGAAUGGCAGGUAGGAGCUUCAACCAGCCAGGAUGAGAGCAAGGAGCAAUCUUGUCAAGAAGAAUUGGAAAGGGCCAUUCAAAUGGCUGAGUGCAUAUACGAUCUAGAUGAGCCAGACAACCUGCCCGAGAGCCCGGAGCUAGUUGAAUUUUUGUGUGCAAAACCUGAUAAGCCACCACCAGAAGUCCAAGAUCCUCUGGACAUUAUUGAUCUAGGGACAGAGGAAGAUCCAAGACCAAUACAAAUUAGUGGUUUAUUGGAGAUUGAUGAUCGGGCAAAAAUUAUCUGUCUUUUGCAAGAAUUCAAAGAUUGUUUUGUUUGGCAUUAUACUGAGAUGCCAGGAUUAAAUGCAGCCUUGGUGGGACACAGAAUGCCCAUCAAGGAUGGAUAUAAACCUGUUAAGCAAGCACCGCGAAUGAUGUCAAAGGAGAUAGAAGAGAAAGUCAAAGAAGAGAUUGAGAGGCUAGUAAAAGCCGGAUUUAUCAGGCCAACCAAAUAUGUGGAGUGGUUAGGCAACAUUGUACCUGUUUUAAAGGCUAUAACAAAAGCAAUAUGAUGUUGUGUUGAUUAUAGAAAUAUUAAUGGCGCUACACCGAAGGAUGAGUAUCCCAUGCCCAUGGCAGAUCUAUCCAUAGAUGCAGUAGCAAAACAUAAAGUCUUAUCUUUUAUGGAUGGAAAUGCCGGGUAUAAUCAGAUAAAGAUGGCUCCAAAUGAUAUACAUAAAACAGCUUUUAGGUGUCCUGGGCAUGUGGGGGCAUAUGAAUAUCUGGUCAUGCCAUUGGGGCUCAAGAAUGCUGGUGCGACCUACCAAAGGGCAAUGAAUGCCAUCUUUCAUGAUCUGAUUGGCCAUAAUAUGGAGGUGUAUAUUGAUGACAUCGUCGUGAAAUCCAAGACAGAAGAGCAACAUCUGAUAGACCUCAGGCAGGCAUUGACAAGAAUGAGGGUCCACAAAUUGAAGAUGAAUCCAAAGAAGUGCGUGUUUGGAGUGAGAGCAGGCAACUUCUUAGGAUUCCUGGUUCAUCAAAGAGGUGUAAAAGUGAACAAAAACAAAUCGCAAGAAAUAAUGAAGUCGUUUUCACCCACCAACAAGGUGCAACUCCAGAGGCUGCUAGGCAAAAUUAAUUUCUUGAGAAGAUUCAUUGCCAAUCUAGCGGGCAAGAUCCAGCCGUUAACUCCUUUGCUAAGACUGAAGAAUAAGGAGAAUUUCGAAUGGGGACCACCACACCAAAAGGCUUUCGACAGUAUUAAAGCUUAUUUGACUUCUCCGCCAGUGUUGGUACCACCUCAAAGAGGAAAACCCUUAAAGCUAUAUAUCUCCACUUCAGAUAAAUCAAUCGGAAGUUUGCUAGCUCAAAAUAAUGAAGGCGGGAAAGAGCAGGCAGUGUACUACCUCAGUAGAAUUCUGACCGAGGUAGAAACAAGAUAUUCCCCAGUCGAGAGAUUGUGCUUAGCUCUGUAUUUUACUGCCAAUAAGCUGAGGCAUUACAUGUUACUUUGUCACGUGCACAUCAUCGCCAAGACAGAUGUGAUAAAGUACAUGUUAUCAAAGCCAAUGUUAACAGGAAGGAUUGGGAAGUGGAUUCUAGCAUUAUCAGAAUUCAGCUUUCAGUAUGUACCCUAAAGGGCAGUCAAAGGCCAAGCAAUUGCUGAUUUCUUGGUGGAGCAUCAAGAGUCUCAAGAUGAGAUAAUCAAUAUCCCAGGAACCCUGGAAGUUACUAGGGUUUGGAUCCCGCCAAGCAAAGGUGUCUCGGGCAAAGAUGAUUGGGUUCAGCAAGAGAUAAAAAGAGUGGUUGGUCUAUGGAUUACUCCUUGGAAGCUAUAUUUUGAUGGUUCCCACACUCAGAAGGCUUCAGGAGCAGGGAUUAUAAUUAUCAACCCUCAAGGGGUAUAUCAUUAUUACUCAUUUUGCUUGGAUUACCAAGGGAAUACCAAUAAUCGGGCAGAGUAUGAGGCCUUAAUAAUUGGUUUGGAAAUCUUGAUGGAUCUAGGGGCAAUGGAGGUAGAGGUCUUUAGCGAUUCAGAGUUAGUCAUAAACCAGCUAAAUGAGGAGUUCAAGUGCACAUAUAUCACCAUGGCCGGAUAUUACUUGGCGGCCACGCAAUUGCUGAGUUAUUGGGACUCUGAGAUAUCGGUUAGUCAUGUUCCCAGAGGAUCCAACCUAGCGGCCAACGAGAUGGCGCAAUUAGCUUCAGGCAUGCUAAUACAUGAAAGAAAAUAUGGGUUGGAUGUCGAGAUUCAAAGAAGAAACCUUCCUUCUAUCCUGGAAAGAGGGUUUAGUCUGGAUGUAAUGGUGCUAGAAACGGAGAUAGAAGAUUGGAGGUCGCCCAUCAUUCAUUAUUUAAAGGAUCCCUCUUCACCCACAAGCAAGAAGGAUAGACAGCAAUCAACUAAGUAUGUUUUGUGGGCGAAUGACCUGCUAAGGAAAACUCCAGACGGGUUGUUAUUGAAAUGCUUAGGCCAAAAGGAAUUUAUGAGAGUAAUGGCCGAAAUACAUGAAGGAAUUUGCGGAGCACAUCAGGCUGGAACGAAGAUGAGGUGGUUGCUGAGAAGAUGUGGUUAUUUCUGGCUUGAUAUGGAAAAAGAUUGCAAGUCUUAUGCCCGAGGCUGUGAAGAAUGUCAGAGGCAUGGUCCUCUCCAACAUGUACCCUCAGUGCCUUUAAAUCCAGUGGUCAAGCAUUGGCCCUUCAGAGGAUGGGCAAUGGACUUCAUCGGGCAGAUCUAUCCAGCUUCUAGCAAGGGGCACACUUUUAUCAUUGUAGCAACGGAUUACUUUACCAAAUGGGUAGAGGCCUCGGCCGUGAAAUCCAUAACUUCGGCUGCAGUAAAAAAAUUUAUUGAGACCAAGAUUCUGUACAGAUUUGGAGUGCCCGAAACCAUAGUAACAGAUCGUGGGCCAUCUUUUAUUUCAAAAGAGGUCGAAGAGUUUGCAAGCAAAUACAAAAUAAAGAUGAUCCAGUCCAGUCCUUACUACCCGCAGUCAAAUGGCCAGGCAGAAUCCAGCAACAAGAUUUUGGUAAACAUUAUCAAAAGAAUGGUGAUAGAUAGUCUGAAAAAGUGGCAUGAAAAGCUGGGGAAUACUUUGUGGGCAUACAGAACUUCCAAGAGGGCAGGAACAGGGACAACUCCUUAUGCUUUAACUUUCGAGCAAGAUGCAGUGCUUCCCAUGGAGAUCAAUGUAAGUUCUGUCAGAAUUCAAAAUCAGUUUGGGUUACACAGUGAAGAGUAUAUCGAAGCCAUGUGUCAAGGGAUUGAAGACUUAGAUGUAGCCCGAAUUGAAGCCUUGAACCAGAUUCAAGAAGGGAAGAAAGCUAUUGCCCGAGCUUAUAACAAAAAGGUGAAGACAAAGUCUUUCAAGGAAGGAGAUUUGGUGUGGAAGACAGUCCUUCCUCUAGGAGCUCAGUUUAGGGGCUUUGGAAAAUGGAGCCCGACAUGGGAAGGUCCUUUCAUGAUUAGUCGAGUAUUAGGCAAAUGAGGAUAUUACUUGGCGGACCUCGAAGGAAAUUGGCAGAAACAUCCCAUUAAUGUUAAAUUCUUGAAAAAGUAUUGUCCUACAUUAUGGGAUGUUAGAGAUUGUUAUAUUGAAGAGGAUGCAAAGUAAAGCAGGUUUCGGGAUGCUAAAGUACAGUGUAUAUUCAUCAAUUAUUCAAAGAAGACAGAAUGACACAAAGCUGUGAAGAUAAUGUUUAUUUCAUUUCGACAAAUUGGUGAAGUUUACAACAGAUUCAAUUCUGAUGUGCUACGUUAUAUUCCUUCCGGUUGCAAUGACGUCUCAGCUGUGUUUCUGAUGUCUUCAUGGAUAGAAUCCGAUCAGGUGAUCAGGUUGUACGGCCAGGAUGAGCCUGGUAGAAGAUCAUCAGGCAGAGUCAUCACCAUAUAUGAUGGUGAAGCCUGAUUUAUCAUGACGGCGAGCAGGAAGGCAAGUCUUCAUGAGGAAAACCCUUGACCAAGGGUGUUGGAGAUAGCGGUGUGUUUGACCAAAGGUGUUGGGGAUAGUAGUUGUCUGAUGGAAACUCUUUUUCUCACGAAAAUGGAGUUUUAGGAAACCCCACUUGAAUCCUGAAGAAUUCAUUUCAUAGUUUUGGGAAGAAAACUAAGAAGGCAGAAGUACUCAGGGUUAAUAAAAGCGAAGACUGAAAGAGGUUUGUUGGCUGAACAAAAGCAAUUUCAAGCUUGAAUUUAUAGAAACCUCAGAGGAUAGCCCAAAGGUCGUGAAGAAGAGCAAGAGACGCAGGAUCGUAGACAUCCUGUCUAGAAAACAAAAGUUCCAAGAGCGGGUAUACAAGCAUGCGGAUAUUCAAUCAAUAUUGGCGCCUGGAUUCCAGUCUGAAUAUUGAUUGAAGGUGGCAUUGUUUGGGUUAAAACGUAAACUUUAGCCACAAAAAGAGAGUUGGCCCAAAAAGAUGAGAGAAGCCCGAAGUCUAGCCCAAGGCCCAGAAGACAUAAAAGGAUUUUCUCGACUAGGUGCAGGUCAUUUGCACCACUUACUCACCUACCCAAAGACCAAGUGGUAUAGACCAGCCAACUAAUCAGCCUAAAAGUACUUUACAGUGGCAGUACAAGUAAAUAGUUGAUGAGUCACUAUCCUUCAAACUGCAUUCGGGCAAGAUUGCUGCUACAGGAAGCCAAGCCAAAGUGUCUAUAAAAGAAGAAAAGAAAUCAGAGUUGAGGACACUCAAACAAACAAACACUCAAACAAACAGACACUCAAACAAACAAACAAAUACAAGCACAAACUCUGCUCAAAAGCCAGAUUUGCUUUCAAACGAAGCUGUAGUCAGCCCAAGCCUUCAUCCCUUUCGGGAUAAACCCUCAUUCAAGCCUUUGUAAUAGCUAUGCUACCCUGUUCAACUCUUGCUGUAGUAUCGAUUUCUUUCUGUAAAACCAUCUCCCUACCCCUCUUCUAAAACUCUCAACCCCCUUGAUAAACCACAAAGAUAGGAAGUUGCAAGACGAUCAGCCUUGCCCGACCCUCUUUGUUUCUGUCUUUUUAUUCAUUAACCUAGCAAUAUGUUGUAUACUUCAAGUUGUAUUCAAGUUAUUUCUAGUAAGAUGGCUAUUAAAAGACUCUCUCAGUACUUGAAUCUGAUUUGAAUAUGUCUUCACAGUUCAAACCAGAUCUAAGUUCUAAGCCAUCGAGCAUGUAAGAUUUGAUCACUUAAAAGUCAUUGGCCUCAAGGCAUAAAAAGAACCUUAUGUGGACUUAACCCAUCCACGACAAGCUUUGAUAACAAGAAGUCCGAAGUUAUUUGGGGCGCAAGUAAUCGACCUAUUCCUUAGUUUUAUUUCUAUUAUAUUAUGAUUACCAUAGAACGUUUGAGUAUAGAAUGAAUUCUGAUAGGAAGCCUCAAGGCCUAUAUCUAAGGUCCUACAAAUGCACCUAUUUAGAUUCAUUAUAUUCCUCGGGCUAGAACGUUUGAGUAUAGAAGGAGUUCUAAUGGGAAGCCUCAAGGCCUAUAUCUAAGGCCCUACAAAGGCACCUAUUUGGAUUCAUUCUGCUCUUCGGGCUCAGGUAAUCAGAAGUAUAAUGGUUAUAAGACUCAUACAAUCAAUGAAGCAGACAUUAUAUGUUCGAGUACUGAGUUAGUUAUUGACUGGAAGCCUCAAGGCCUACACCUAAGGCCCCACAAAGGCACCUGUCAUAACUAACACUGUCUCUUGGAUAUAUAUACAACUAAAACUCAACAUUCAUUUUACAUCUGUCAUGCUGAAGAUGGCAGUGGCACGCCUGAGCACUUAAAAGUUAAUCUUGAUUGUGAGCCUCAAGGCCUACACCUAAGGCCCCACGAAGGCACCUUUCAAAGUUAACCAUGUCCUUCUCUUUCAGCUUUGCCCGACAAGCUUUGCCCGAUAAAGCCCACCAGUGAAGCAGAAGCCCGACAGAAAGCAUCAACCGGCGCCAACCUCUCGGGGAGCUGUGUGCUCGUCGGCCAGGGAACAUCCUCGACGGAAAUUCCUGCCACGAACAGAUAGGUCAAUCGAGAGAGAGGCAAGCCACUCUCACUUGUGUGAUGUGGGUGUGGUCGAAUUCAAAGACGGCUAAGGAGAAGGAGAGAGAUCGAGAGAAAUCGGCGAAGAGGGUAAGGUAAGGUUGGGAGAGAAAAUGACUAAGUGAGGGUUUUAUUUGGAUUCAACAGUUGAGAUUAAAUCUCAACCAUAUCCGACAGCUGUUACAAUUCUAAAUAUAUAUUUAAAAUUAAAUAAUAUUUUUGUUUUCGAUUCGGGAUUACUGAGCGGAUGAAAAUGUGAAACUGAUUCCCGUACCGAAAUUUUGGGAUUGGGUACUGAAAUUUUCAAGAUUUUCAGUUUAGGAUUUUUUCAGUUCAAUUUCGAGAUUUUUUUGGUUCAGUUUGGAAUUUUCGGUAUUUUUUUCCACCCUUAGUUCCAGGUUUGGGCUUUCUUCUCCUUUUUUUCUCCAGUCGGGUCGACCCGGUCUCUAUCAUGGGUCUGGUCGCCGGAAUCUGGGCAGCGAUUCCAGAGCUUCAAACGAGCUCAAAACUCAACCAUUUUUCACACUCUUCCUACCAAAAUGAAGAUAAACGAGAGUAGUUUAGGAUUAUACCUUUCCCCGAGUCAGCUGUGGUCGGAGUUGGCCUGAAAAGGCCUGUAACUCGCGACAUACACCACCGAAAAAAUUGGGGAAGACUCCCCGAUGCAUCUCAGCAUUCAAAUGUCACCAAAAUCCUUAAGAAACACUAGAAAUGUAUAGUAAAAUACGAUCCACAAAAACUUGGGUGGUUUUCAAAACUUACAUUCAUCGGAAACGAUGAGGAGUUGCCAGAGGACAUGGCGUCAACGAUGAUUUCGGUGCCUUUACGCCUUGAGCACAGAGAAAGUGAGGGAGAAUGAAGAUUGAGAUAAAGGGAGGGUGAUAGGGGAGAGAGAUGUGAUAGUUGGAGACAAGGACGAUGGUGGUCUUGAAACAAGGCGUCAGCGAUCGCCAUGGCCGUUUCUGUGCAGCGAGCACAUAGUGAGUGAGAGAGGUAGGGAGUCCAAUGGAGAUGUGAGGGAAUCUAAUCCCCUUGAAUUUGGAAAGGAUGACAGGUAGUGCCAUUAAGGUGGUAGUUCAGCGAAGCUCGCCAAAGGUGUAGUGGUGAUGGCGGGUCUCUGUGUAUAUAGAAAGAGAAAGAAAGUGAAAAGAGAGAGAGUGCGGGAAUUAAAGUGUUGAGGCAAAAGAGUGAUAAUGACAAAGAUGAGUGAGGGAUAAUGCCUGACAAAGAGAAGAGAAUAGAAAAUAUGGGGAAAGUGGAGAUUAAAGAAAACAAAGGAAAUGGAUGUGAUAGUUAAAAUAACAAAAGAAAUGAAUAUGAUGAUUAUAAAAACAGGAAAAGUCUUCAACAUUCAGAGAAAUCACGGUUUGGAUUUCCAAUCCCAUAUAAAAAUUAAACGUGGGUCCCACCACUUAAUUAUAGCAAUAGGUAGAAAAAUGCAAAUUUCAAAUUUAUUUCUUCUAAAAUGAAGCGUAACUAAGACUCCGAAUUUGGUUCUACUUGUGUCUAUGAGUUCGUGUCGUCGAGUACUACAAAGAUACGCUAAAAGAAUGUUUCAUACGUCUCACUAUACGCUGGUCAACGAAGUUCAACAAUCUCGCAUCUAGAGACAUUUUGUCAAUUCACUCCUUUUAAAAUUAAUAAAAUCGUAAAAUUAGGGAUGAGCUAUUAAAAUCAAGCAUUACAUAUUAUAUACCAAAAAAAAACUAAAAUAUGUUUAAAAUAUCCUAAAUUUCUCUUUUGAUCUAAUAAUAUUUCUCUUUUUCAUAACAAUGAGUGUUAUGUAGAGCCACUCAGUACUACGGUCUUAUGGUAUUUCU